GUGAAUCAUCGAAUCUUUGAACGCACAUUGCGCCCGCCAGUAUUCUGACGGGCAUGCCUGUUCGAGCGUCAUUUCAAACCUCAAGCUCCUUCUGUGAGUUUGGUGCUGGAGCAUCUGUAAGUUUUUGUGCUUACAGGCUCUAAAAACAUACGGCAGACCUGUUAGGCCUCUGAGCGUAGUAAAUUUUCUCGCUUUUGGGGCUCUAGUAGGCUCUCUAGCCUUAUAAACCUUUCUCCAAGUUUGACCUCGGAUCAGGUAGGAAUACCCGCUGAACUUAAGCAUAUCAAUAAGCGGAGGA
RNAcentral lists this unclassified non-coding RNA (298 nucleotides) under Scutisporus sp. RNAcentral describes it as "partial contains 5.8S ribosomal RNA, internal transcribed spacer 2, and large subunit ribosomal RNA". The stretch from base 1 to 71 matches the Rfam family "5.8S ribosomal RNA", at positions 84 to 154 of the family's 154-position model. Lineage: Eukaryota; Fungi; Ascomycota. The record is from RNAcentral.